Molecule: ribosomal RNA, 465 nt
Filed under: uncultured bacterium
Lineage: Bacteria
Description: bacterial SSU rRNA
Rfam family: Bacterial small subunit ribosomal RNA
Source: RNAcentral
CAAGCGGUGGAGCAUGUGGUUUAAUUCGAUGCAACGUGAAGAACCUUACCUACUCUUGACAUCCACGGAAUUCGGCAGAGAUGCCUUAGUGCCUUCGGGAACCGUGAGACAGGUGCUGCAUGGCUGUCGUCAGCUCGUGUUGUGAAAUGUUGGGUUAAGUCCCGCAACGAGCGCAACCCUUAUCCUUUGUUGCCAGCGAUACGGUCGGGGACUCAAAGGAGACUGCCGGUGAUAAACCGGAGGAAGGUGGGGAUGACGUCAAGUCAUCAUGGCCCUUACGAGUAGGGCUACACACGUGCUACAAUGGCGCAUACAAAGAGAAGCGACCUCGCGAGAGCAAGCGGACCUCAGAAAGUGCGUCGUAGUCCGGAUCGGAGUCUGCAACUCGACUCCGUGAAGUCGGAAUCGCUAGUAAUCGUGGAUCAGAAUGCCACGGUGAAUACGUUCCCGGGCCUUGUACACACC